Molecule: ribosomal RNA, 449 nt
Filed under: uncultured bacterium
Lineage: Bacteria
Description: partial 16S ribosomal RNA
Rfam family: Bacterial small subunit ribosomal RNA
Source: RNAcentral
AACGAACGCUGGCGGCAUGCCUAACACAUGCAAGUCGAACGAGCCCUUCGGGGUUAGUGGCGCACGGGUGCGUAACGCGUGGGAAUCUGCCCUUGGGUUCGGAAUAACAGUUAGAAAUGACUGCUAAUACCGGAUGAUGUCUUCGGACCAAAGAUUUAUCGCCCAAGGAUGAGCCCGCGUAGGAUUAGGUAGUUGGUGGGGUAAUGGCCCACCAAGCCGACGAUCCUUAGCUGGUCUGAGAGGAUGAUCAGCCACACUGGGACUGAGACACGGCCCAGACUCCUACGGGAGGCAGCAGUGGGGAAUAUUGGACAAUGGGCGAAAGCCUGAUCCAGCAAUGCCGCGUGAGUGAUGAAGGCCUUAGGGUUGUAAAGCUCUUUUACCAGGGAUGAUAAUGACAGUACCUGGAGAAUAAGCUCCGGCUAACUCCGUGCCAGCCGCCGCGGUAA